RNAcentral lists this ribosomal RNA (439 nucleotides) under Theileria sergenti. Its description in RNAcentral is "partial 18S ribosomal RNA". It matches the Rfam family "Eukaryotic small subunit ribosomal RNA", at positions 477 to 914 of the family's 1831-position model. Lineage: Eukaryota; Apicomplexa; Aconoidasida; Piroplasmida; Theileriidae. The record is from RNAcentral.
GUUUGUUCGGGGCUUAUGUCUUGUAUUGGAUGAUGGGAAUUUAAACCUCUUCCAGAGUAUCAAUUGGAGGGCAAGUCUGGUGCCAGCAGCCGCGGUAAUUCCAGCUCCAAUAGCGUAUAUUAAAAUUGUUGCAGUUAAAAAGCUCGUAGUUGAAUUUCUGCUGCAUUACAUAUCUCUUGCUUAAGUUUGUAUUUCGCAUGCUCCAUGACCGUUUUUUUUUUUUUUCCGGCGGGAUGUUUUGACGAAGCUAGGUGGGGCCUACCUUGGCCGGUUUUUGUCUCAGUUAGUUAUGGAUGAAUUAAUUUCGACGGUGUUGGGUUUUUGUGGGUGGUUGUACCAACAAAGGACCUUAGGAAGGAAAAGAAGAAAUGCAUACUUAUUUAACUGACAGAAACUACUUUCUUAAAUUAGAGACGGACACUCUACAGAAAAAAAGUUA